UUCGUUGUGUUCCCUAAAGUGCCUUUACUCAGGAUCGAAGGUCAUGGUGCUGUUGUGCAAUUGUUGAAAACUCCCUUUCUCAAUCUCAACAAUUACGCAUCUUUGGUUGCUACUAACGCAGCAAGGCAUCGGUGUGUUGCUGGAAAAUCUAAGCUUCUACUCGAGUUUGGUGAUCGAAGAGCUCAAGUCAAAGCUCGGAAUUCAAAUUUGAGAACAGGCAAGUUAAGCCUUGGAAGGGGAGAGGAUUCAUGACGCGGCUAUGGAGGAUCUUGAACUCACAGUUGGAAACCUUAAAGGUCGUUAGAUGAUAUAUGAAGAACAAAAGGACCCGUUGUGGCAUGUCGGAAGCAAAAAGGUUGGAGUGUUAGCGUGUUAUUCAGUUCAUGGUUUUGGUUCUUGUAAUAGAAUCGAUAUUCAUUGUACUAUUGAGUUUGUUUCACAUUGCAAUAUUUUGUAGAUAGACUGUGUAAGAUGUAUGUUUCUAUCAUGUAUCAUUGUCUUGCAAGACAUUACAACUAUUUUAUUAUGAAGUGGCUUAAACUUGAGACA
This is a long non-coding RNA of Brassica napus (rape), 549 nucleotides long. RefSeq lists it as uncharacterized. The record is from RefSeq and is a predicted model, not a curated record. NCBI's taxonomy places the organism in Eukaryota, Viridiplantae, Streptophyta, Magnoliopsida, Brassicales, Brassicaceae. The transcript is spliced from 2 exons.